AACGAACGCUGGCGGCGUGCCUAACACAUGCAAGUCGCGGGAGAAAGCCGCAAGGCGAGUAAACCGGCGCACGGGUGCGUAACACGUGGAUAACCUACCUCGAUGACUGGGAUAACUGGCCGAAAGGCUUGCUAAUACCAGAUAAGCCCCCGACCUCUUUGGAGGAAGAGGGAAAAGGCGGCCUCUGUAUACAAGCUGUCACAUCGAGAUGGGUCCGCGGCCCAUCAGCUCGUGGCGGGGUAAUGGCCCACCAAGGCAACGACGGGUAGCUGGUCUGAGAGGAUGAUCAGCCACACUGGAACUGAGACACGGUCCAGACUCCUACGGGAGGCAGCAGUGGGGAAUCUUGCGCAAUGGGCGAAAGCCUGACGCAGCAACGCCGCGUGUGUGAUGAAGGUCUUCGGAUCGUAAAGCACUGUCGGGAGGGAAGAUACGCUUCACAACAACAAGGU
Molecule: ribosomal RNA, 452 nt
Filed under: uncultured bacterium
Lineage: Bacteria
Description: bacterial SSU rRNA
Rfam family: Bacterial small subunit ribosomal RNA
Source: RNAcentral